RNAcentral lists this ribosomal RNA (250 nucleotides) under uncultured prokaryote. Its description in RNAcentral is "partial 16S rRNA". It matches the Rfam family "Bacterial small subunit ribosomal RNA", at positions 525 to 775 of the family's 1533-position model. The record is from RNAcentral.
ACGUAGGGGGCAAGCGUUAUCCGGAAUUAUUGGGCGUAAAGAGUGCGUAGGUGGUUUUUUAAGCGUGAGGUGAAAGGCAAUAGCUUAACUAUUGUAAGCCUUGCGAACUGGAAGACUUGAGUGCAGGAGAGGAAAGUGGAAUUCCUAGUGUAGCGGUGAAAUGCGUAGAUAUUAGGAGGAACACCAGUGGCGAAGGCGUCUCACCAGGACGGCUCCGACAGUGAGGAACGAAAGCUGGGGGAGCAAACCG